Molecule: long non-coding RNA, 3918 nt
Organism: Jatropha curcas
Lineage: Eukaryota; Viridiplantae; Streptophyta; Magnoliopsida; Malpighiales; Euphorbiaceae
Source: RefSeq, a predicted model, not a curated record
GUUUCCUUGUCUCAAAAUGAUACACGCCUCUCCCAAGUCGGCGAUACUUUAACUAUUUAUAAUUUUAUAUGAAAGCAAUAUCGCUCUUUCAUUCUCAAGGUCCGUUUCAUCGUCUCCUAUAGUCUCCUCGCUCCUUUUUUCUCCGAUCGAUCUAUGGCCUAGGCGUCAUAGACCGGGCAGAACGCAGAUGAUUUGGUCAUGGCGGUCUCGAUUUAGCAUCAGAUCUACAAGUUUUGGAGCUCCAUGAGCACGAUCUACAUGUUUUGGACAGAAAGCAGAUGAUUUGUCAUGGCAGUCUCGAUUUAGCAUUAGAUCUGCAAGUUUUGGAGCUCCAUGAGCACGAGUCUUGAAGGUUCUACUGUUGAUGCAACUUGUGAUGAUUUGAGUUCCUGGGACAUGGUGGAUGCUGAGCGUUGGUCUUGUUGUCUUGAUGUUUCAGUUUCGUGAAGGUUAUGAGCAACGAGAGGGUUUGUGAUUAUAUCUGCUAUGCAAUUUUGUUCGAUUAUUAUUGUUGUCUGUGAUUAUCUGGCGUAUGAGUUAAUACCUUCAUAAGUAGGAUGAUGGAUCGAUGGUUGUGGGAGGCUGAGAAGAUGUUUGGUUCGAUUGAUGUGUGAUUCUGUUUGUCGUCUGGCCUUUGCCAUGACAGGUGCGCUUGCAUGGCAGGUCAAAAGCUUAAUAAAAUAUUUAUUUUUGUGUUUUUUAGGGGGGAGAUGGCACGGGAUAUAAUUAUUUUGGUCUAUUUAUUUUGCCCGGCUCUCCCCCCUGUGUUCGUGUGUUCGUGUCUGCUCUCUCUCUCUCUCUCUCUACCUUUUUAUCCUCUUCCUGCCAUCACUGCUUUACAUAUUUAUAAUUCUAUCACCUCUCGGGGAUGGUUUCCGAUUCAAACAUCAUUUGCAACGAAGGCAAUGAAGGCAACAACUAUUUCCUGAAUCAGAAUUAUUCUUCAUCUUCAUGAAAGCACACUUAUGAGGUAUAACACUUUCAAAUAUCUUUAUUAACUGAUCUUUUUAGAUAUUAUAACGAAUUGCUUCCCAUAUCAUUAGAUAUUCUCACAGUAAUAAUAUGAUGGAACGUUGUUUAUAUAGUAUUAACGAAUUUCUUUACAUAUUAUUCAAUGUUCUCACAGUGAUAAUAUGAUGGAACACACUUCGGAUUUUACAACGAAUUGCUUUACAUAUUAUUGAAUCUUCUCACAGAAAUAUCAUUAAGAUCCAUUUUUUAUCCAUUUUAAUUUAAUUAUCAUUGACUGGCAGAAAUAUCAACUUAUUUUUGAAAAUAGCGGUCUCUUGAAAGAAUCAUCUGACUAACAUAUUGUACAGCAGCAGCUGAUUGCUUAAGCUAGUAAUGUUCUAAUUAUUCGUGCCCUUUGUCACGUGUUUCACAUGCACUAUUUCACUGUUAGCUAUCUAAUAUACCAAGUCUUGUUUUCAAUGGAAUGCUCGUGCUCCAGUCCGGUCAACCUUUUUGCCAAUUGGAGCAUAGGGUGGCUAUAUUUUUUCUUCUUGCGCCUACAUCGGUUUUAACUAACUCUUUAAAAUCAUCCAAUCAAAAUAAUGAACAUCAUAGAAUUUGGUAACAGAAUGCGGUAAUUUGAAGACUGCAACUGCUGUCGAUGACACGCUGUAAGAUGGUUCGCCAAAUUGAUAGAAGUUGAGUAGGCACUCUAAUUCUAUUUUGCUGUUUGCAUAAAUUUGAGGUUUACCUUCUGCAGCUUACCAUUUUCUUGCACUUAACAAUUUAGUUUUUCAAUUAUUAAUUUUUGUUCCAAUAUUUUUAUGGACCAAAAAUAUUUGUUCUGUGGCUUGGGGUUGGGGUUUUCUUUUUUUGGUUAGAUGAUGUUACUUGUCCUUGCUUACAUGUUAAGCAAUGUUAGUGUAGCGGUGGGGAAUGGUUGCUUUCCCCCAUAAUCUAAUGUGUAUGCUGUAAGAUUGGUGAUUGGAAUUUGUAUCAGCAUGGAAUGUACUUGCUUUAUCUACCUAGUUGGCCAUGGUUCUUAGAUGCUCCUGCUCCAACUGUGAGUUCUGUUUCUUGUGACCUGUUUCAAGUUGAUCAUGAAGGCUCUGCUCACGAUGUGAAGGUUGGCUUCUCAGCAGGAUUUUGGAUCAAGCGUCAAUUGUUUAUACAAAGGGAUGGCAGCCUUACAGAUGAUACCUGUGGUUUCUUGUGAUUGGGUUGAUUUAACUGCUCCAUGUUUCUGAGAGAGGGAUGUGUAUCCAACUGUUACUCAGACUUCUUAUUUUGUCCUCUCUUCUACUAUGUGCCAAAUCGGCGGCUGUGCUACUGAGCUACUUUCCUGCCUGUUGCAGUUCCUCAUCUGCUUCAACGUCUUAGUUGCUUCCAAGUUGCCAUGCUGGAUUGCAAUUAUAUACUAAUUUCGCUGUAUUGCAAUUAUGUGCUAAUUGUCGGUUUAGUGGUGCGUCUAAGUAUUUUUAACAAUUAUUGUGGCCUACGAUCGAGACAAGCUUGUUACACAAAUGAUCCCUAGUCUCACAAUCCGCAGUUGUUGUCUAGGAGGCCUCAGUCACUUCUGCAGCUAGUCUUUCUUUUUUUGGCUUGGUUGUCUCUCUCGGCAAAGAUAGCUGUGUUUGUUUACAAGAUGGUGUUGUCAUAAGUUUUUGCAAUGCGUCUUUACCUAUUGUAAGGUGUCUUCUGCUGCUUUUGCAUGAUUGAAUAUGUGAAAGCGGGUGAAAAUAUGCUUUGCUGUAUAAAGUACUGUCGGAGGCUUCCUAAUUUAUUUGCACGGAAUUUCAGUGUACGAGUAGAACAGGUUGAAUGGAUUGAAUUACGGCUGUGUAAGGUAGAGCAUAUUGGAUUUGUGGAUUUCUGAACGUUGCUUCUGUCCGCUACUUGAGUUCAUGCUGUUCUUAAAUCAGCCUGUUGGUUUGGUAUCAUUUGCCCCUCCGUUUUUUCUGUUUAUGAUCUUAUGGCUGUCUCGAGCUAAUGUUUUUUGCAGUUUUUUGGAUGUCACGUGGUAGAUUCAUCUCAUUUGAGCGAAACGGAAAUGUAGGGAAAAUUUCAAAAGAAAAUGGUAGGUAAUAAAAACUGAGCUGGCGUGUGGAAGAUGUAAUGUUUGCUCGAAUGGGAACAUCGAAUUCUCUCGAUACCGUUUGAUUUUAAUGAGCCUGUUGUUACUGUGUAUGGUUUUAAGAUUUUUUUAUUCUUAUGUUUGUUCCUCUUUAAUGACUUUUUUUUUUUAAUUUCUUUAAAGGAUCUGGGAAAUCUUUUAUUACUGGGCUCAAUUUCUAUAACUGAGAAAUCUUUAUUUACUGGGCUCAAUUUCUAUAACUAAGAUAAUUAAAUUCUCUCUCGAUUUUUCAUUUGAGAAAUUAUUUUGUUAAGAUCUUGUUCUGACUCGCGGUUAUGUCAAAGGGCAAUAUAUUAUUUUAGAGUUAAAAUUUGAAAUAAUUAAGAAAACCGAGUUUGAUUUAUUAGCUGCUGGUGGCAUAAGUAAAAGACAAAUAAUAGUUUCCAUUAUAUUUUGUAGGGUAAUUGAGAGAGUUUAAAUAGCUUAUGUAUUUAAACUAGUACAGGGUCGGGUUCCAAUGAAGGGUAUGUUUAUGAAAAAAGGAAUAUUACAUGUGUCAUGUAGACCCAUUAGCUCUAACCUGGUGUUUUGAAGAAGAAAGCAUCAUUCUUCACUGGAAUAAUUAUUCAAACCCCACAAAGUCAUUUUGCUAGUUGUUUAUCAGUUGAAGCCUCUGGGUGCUUGCCCUGAAACUUUUCCGCAAAGGAACCUGUUGCUUCCUCUCAGUCCACCUUCCUUGGAUAUUAUUUGGUUGCACCUUUUUUCCUGUUUUUUGUUCCUUUUCUAGUGGGGACUGAUUCCCUGGUUCAUACCGCGUUGUCAUUUUUCCUUCGGUUUUCUUCCUUUUUUGUUUUUUCAGUUGACCUACUUGGAAUAUUUAAAUUUUCUUUUUC